CAGGGCGUCCGAGUUGUAAUCUAUAGAGGCGUUUUCCGUGCCGGACCGUGUCCAAGUUCCUUGGAACAGGAUAUCAAAGAGGGUGACAAUCCCGUACUUGACACGACGACCGGUGCUCUGUGAUACGUCUUCUACGAGUCGAGUUGUUUGGGAAUGCAGCUCAAAAUGGGUGGUGAGUUCCAUCUAAAGCUAAAUAUUGGCGAGAGACCGAUAGCGAACAAGUACCGUGAGGGAAAGAUGAAAAGCACUUUGGAAAGAGAGUUAAACAGUACGUGAAAUUGUUGAAAGGGAAACGAUUGAAGUCAGUCGUGACCGAGAGGCUCAGCCGGUUCUGCCGGUGUAUUCCCCUCGGUCGGGUCAACAUCAGUUUUGUCCGGUGGAUAAGGGCGGUAGGAAGGUGGCACCCUCGGGUGUGUUAUAGCCUGCCGUCGCAUACAUCGGGUGAGACUGAGGAACGCAGCUCGCCUUUAUG
Molecule: ribosomal RNA, 472 nt
Filed under: Papiliotrema laurentii
Lineage: Eukaryota; Fungi; Basidiomycota; Tremellomycetes; Tremellales; Rhynchogastremaceae
Description: partial large subunit ribosomal RNA
Rfam family: Eukaryotic large subunit ribosomal RNA
Source: RNAcentral